This 119-nucleotide ribosomal RNA is filed under the name Pteropus alecto (black flying fox). The record is from RNAcentral. Lineage: Eukaryota; Metazoa; Chordata; Mammalia; Chiroptera; Pteropodidae.
GUCUAUGGCCAUGCUACCCUGAACAAGUUGGAUCCUGUCUGAUCUCGGAAGCUAAGCAGGGUCGAGCCUGGUUAGUACUUGGAUGGGAGACCACCUAGGAAGACCAGGUGCUGCAGACA